GGUUCGCUUGGGAAUAGGUAUUCUCCAGUAAUGACAUUGAAAUUGAAGCGAUUGUUAUUGCUUGAGAAUACAAAUUGUCAAAGAGAACCGAGUACCUGCCA
Non-coding RNA from Brugia malayi, 101 nucleotides. The record is from RefSeq and is a predicted model, not a curated record. NCBI's taxonomy places the organism in Eukaryota, Metazoa, Nematoda, Chromadorea, Rhabditida, Onchocercidae.